ACCUGCAUCGAUAGUGAUCUUGGUAUCCUUGUUGCCUGGUCAUCGAUACUGCAGGAAAAGUAACCUGAAAGCAUUUCCCGUGUUUGUAUGGGUCAGUGUUAUCCCUUUCAAACCUCGUAGCUUUCAGACA
This is a small nucleolar RNA of Erpetoichthys calabaricus (reedfish), 130 nucleotides long. Its record names the gene SNORA71. It matches the Rfam family "Small nucleolar RNA SNORA71". From Rfam's summary of the family: The members of this family belong to the H/ACA class of snoRNAs which bind a number of proteins (including dyskerin, Gar1p and Nop10p) to form snoRNP complexes. This class of snoRNAs are thought to guide the sites of modification of uridines to pseudouridines by forming direct base pairing interactions with substrate RNAs. NCBI's taxonomy places the organism in Eukaryota, Metazoa, Chordata, Cladistia, Polypteriformes, Polypteridae. The record is from Ensembl.